Non-coding RNA from Myodes glareolus (Bank vole), 500 nucleotides. The record is from RefSeq and is a predicted model, not a curated record. Lineage: Eukaryota; Metazoa; Chordata; Mammalia; Rodentia; Cricetidae.
ACAGGGCUAGAGCUCCUAACGAAAGGCCAGUUACAAUGGGUAAUAGUCAUUAGAAGUUCCAGCUAUUUUGAUGGAUUGAAAGAAAACGGUCCACAAAGGGAGGGGCACUAUUAGGAGCUGUGGCCUGGAUGGAGAAAGUGUGUCACUGUGAAGUCAGAGUUCAAGCCACAGCCAGUGAGACAGACCAGCUCCUGUUGCCUGUGAAUGAAGAUGUAAAGACUCUCAGGUAUUUCUCCAGAGCCAUGUCUAUCUGCAUGCCACCACGUUGCACUAUGAUGAAAAUGGACCAAACCUAUGAAAAUCUACAUGGCAUCUCUCUGACUCUGCCUACCAUCUCUAUAUACCUCUUCUAGCCUUGGUGUGGGAAAAUGGUUUGACAAUGGCAAGCAGCUCUAUGAUCUAAUAUAUGCUGCAGAUGGAUGAAGAGUUAAUAAUUCAUAUUCUUAGUCUUCAGAAGAAACAGAAAAAUAAUAAAAUCUAUUUAUGUGUGGUUCAACUGA